RNAcentral lists this ribosomal RNA (450 nucleotides) under uncultured bacterium. RNAcentral's name for it is "partial 16S ribosomal RNA". It matches the Rfam family "Bacterial small subunit ribosomal RNA", at positions 354 to 796 of the family's 1533-position model. The record is from RNAcentral.
GUGGGGAAUCUUCCGCAAUGGGCGAAAGCCUGACGGAGCAACGCCGCGUGAACGAGGAAGGUCUUCGGAUCGUAAAGUUCUGUUGCAGGGGACGAACGGCACUAUAGCCAAUAAGUAUAGUGAAUGACGGUACCCUGUUAGAAAGCCACGGCUAACUACGUGCCAGCAGCCGCGGUAAUACGUAGGCGGCAAGCGUUGUCCGGAAUCAUUGGGCGUAAAGGGAGCGCAGGCGGAACAUUAAGCGGAUCUUAAAAGUGCGGGGCUCAACCACGUGAUGGGGUCCGAACUGAGGUUCUUGAGUGCAGGAGAGGAAAGCGGAAUUCCCAGUGUAGCGGUGAAAUGCGUAGAUAUUGGGAAGAACACCAGUGGCGAAGGCGGCUUUCUGGACUGUAACUGACGCUGAGGCUCGAAAGCCAGGGUAGCGAACGGGAUUAGAUACCCGGGUAGUCC